RNAcentral lists this ribosomal RNA (335 nucleotides) under uncultured bacterium. RNAcentral describes it as "partial 16S ribosomal RNA". It matches the Rfam family "Bacterial small subunit ribosomal RNA", at positions 338 to 690 of the family's 1533-position model. The record is from RNAcentral.
CCUACGGGGGGCAGCAGUGGGGAAUAUUGCACAAUGGGGGAAACCCUGAUGCAGCGACGCCGCGUGAGCGAUGAAGUAUUUCGGUAUGUAAAGCUCUAUCAGCAGGGAAGAAGAUGACGGUAACUGACUAAGAAGCCCCGGCUAACUACGUGCCAGCAGCCGCGGUAAUACGUAGGGGGCAAGCGUUAUCCGGAUUUACUGGGUGAAAAGGGAGCGUAGACGGCGAUGCAAGCCCGAGGGGAAAGCCCGGGGCUCAACCCCGGGACUGCAUUUGGAACGGGGUGGCUGGGGUGUCGAGGGGGCAGGCGGAAUUCCUAUUGUGGCGGUGAAAUGGU